UGAAAGGGCAAAGCUCCAUGUGAACUAUAU
RNAcentral lists this non-coding RNA (30 nucleotides) under Mus musculus (house mouse). The record is from RNAcentral. Lineage: Eukaryota; Metazoa; Chordata; Mammalia; Rodentia; Muridae.